ACUAAAUAGAUACCCUGGUAGUCCACGCCCUAAACGAUGUCUACUAGUUGUUGGUGGAGUAAAAUCCAUUAGUAAACGCAGCUAAACGCGUGAAGUAGACCGCCUGGGGAGUACGGUCGCAAGAUUAAAACUCAAAGGAAUUGACGGGGGCCCGGCACAAGCGGUGGAUUAUGUGGAUUAAUUCGAUGCAACGCGAAAAACCUUAACCUGGCCUUGACAUGCUACUAAUGAAGCAGAGAUGCAUUAGGUGCCCGAAACGGGAAAGUAGACACAGGUGCUGCAUGGCUGUCGUCAGCUCGUGUCGUGAGAUGUUGGGUUAAGUCCCGCAACGAGCGCAACCCUUGCCAAUAAUU
Molecule: ribosomal RNA, 353 nt
Filed under: uncultured bacterium
Lineage: Bacteria
Description: bacterial SSU rRNA
Rfam family: Bacterial small subunit ribosomal RNA
Source: RNAcentral